CAAAAAAUAGUUUAUUUAAAAUUCUAAUUUUGGAGAUUAGUGAUAUAAUAUUAAUUAUUUUUUUGA
RNAcentral lists this transfer RNA (66 nucleotides) under Pteromalus puparum. Its description in RNAcentral is "tRNA-Pro". The record is from RNAcentral. Lineage: Eukaryota; Metazoa; Arthropoda; Insecta; Hymenoptera; Pteromalidae.